GACGAACGCUGGCGGCGUGCCUAAUACAUGCAAGUUGAGCGCUGAAGGUUGGUACUUGUACCAACUGGAUGAGCAGCAAACGGGUGAGUAACGCGUGGGGAAUCUGCCUUUGAGCGGGGGACAACAUUUGGAAACGAAUGCUAAUACCGCACAAAAACUUUAAACACAAGUUUUAAGUUUGAAAGAUGCAAUUGCAUCACUCAAAGAUGAUCCCGCGUUGUAUUAGCUAGUUGGUGAGGUAAAGGCUCACCAAGGCGAUGAUACAUAGCCGACCUGAGAGGGUGAUCGGCCACAUUGGGACUGAGACACGGCCCAAACUCCUACGGGAGGCAGCAGUAGGGAAUCUUCGGCAAUGGACGAAAGUCUGACCGAGCAACGCCGCGUGAGUGAAGAAGGUUUUCGGAUCGUAAAACUCUGUUGGUAGAGAAGAACGUUGGUGAGAGUGGAAAGCUCAUCAAGUGACGGUAACUACCCAGAAAGGGACGGCUAACUACGUG
This 497-nucleotide ribosomal RNA is filed under the name uncultured bacterium. Its description in RNAcentral is "partial 16S ribosomal RNA". It matches the Rfam family "Bacterial small subunit ribosomal RNA", at positions 28 to 507 of the family's 1533-position model. The record is from RNAcentral.